Molecule: ribosomal RNA, 440 nt
Filed under: uncultured bacterium
Lineage: Bacteria
Description: partial 16S ribosomal RNA
Rfam family: Bacterial small subunit ribosomal RNA
Source: RNAcentral
UAGGGAAUCUUCCACAAUGGACGCAAGUCUGAUGGAGCAACGCCGCGUGAGUGAAGAAGGUUUUCGGACCGUAAAGCUCUGUUGUUGGUGAAGAAGGAUAGAGGUAGUAACUGGCCUUUAUUUGACGGUAAUCAACCAGAAAGUCACGGCUAACUACGUGCCAGCAGCCGCGGUAAUACGUAGGUGGCAAGCGUUGUCCGGAUUUAUUGGGCGUAAAGCGAGCGCAGGCGGAAGAAUAAGUCUGAUGUGAAAGCCCUCGGCUUAACCGAGGAAUUGCAUCGGAAACUGUUUUCUUGAGUGCAGAAGAGGAGAGUAGAACUCCAUGUGUAGCGGUGGAAUGCGUAGAUAUAUGGAAGAAUACCAGUGGCGAAGGCGGCUCUCUGGUCUGCAACUGACGCUGAGGCUCGAAAGCAUGGUAGCGAACAGGAUUAGAUACCCUG